UGGGGAAUAUUGCACAAUGGGCGAAAGCCUGAUGCAGCAACGCCGCGUGAGUGAUGAAGGUCUUCGGAUUGUAAAGCUCUGUCUUUUGGGACGAUAAUGGCGGUACCAAAGGAGGAAGCCACGGCUAACUACGUGCCAGCAGCCGCGGUAAUACGUAGGUGGCGAGCGUUGUCCGGAUUUACUGGGCGUAAAGGGUGCGUAGGCGGAUGUUUAAGUGAGAUGUGAAAUACCCGGGCUUAACUUGGGUGCUGCAUUUCAAACUGGAUAUCUAGAGUGCAGGAGAGGAGAGUGGAAUUCCUAGUGUAGCGGUGAAAUGCGUAGAGAUUAGGAAGAACACCAGUGGCGAAGGCGAUUCUCUGGACUGUAACUGACGCUGAGGCACGAAAGCGUGGGUAGCAAACAGGAUUAGAUACCCUGGUAGUCCACGCCGUAAACGAUGAGUACUAGGUGUAGGAGGUAUCGACCCCUUCUGUGCCGCAGUAAACACAUUAAGUACUCCGCCUGGGAAGUACGAUCGCAAGAUU
RNAcentral lists this ribosomal RNA (524 nucleotides) under uncultured bacterium. RNAcentral describes it as "partial 16S ribosomal RNA". It matches the Rfam family "Bacterial small subunit ribosomal RNA", at positions 355 to 895 of the family's 1533-position model. The record is from RNAcentral.